Molecule: non-coding RNA, 469 nt
Filed under: Blastomyces gilchristii SLH14081
Lineage: Eukaryota; Fungi; Ascomycota; Eurotiomycetes; Onygenales; Ajellomycetaceae
Description: Ajellomyces dermatitidis SLH14081 Bacterial large subunit ribosomal RNA
Rfam family: Bacterial large subunit ribosomal RNA
Source: Rfam by way of RNAcentral
UUCCGCGAAACCUAUGUGAGUAGGUAAUUUAAUUAACAUCUUAGCAGGUACAGAACUAGGAUCUCGGACAAUAUGUAAAUUUUGUGCACAUCGGGGGAUCGUGAUGAUUUUAUCGGAGAGUAUUUGCACUCGAAAGGGCAAAGAUGAAUAUUGAAUAAUCGGACAUAGUACGAUAAGGUUGUAUGUCUAAAGGGAAACAGCCCUGAACAAGAGUUAUAAGGUUCCAAAAUUAUUAUUAAGUGAAAUUAAGGAUGUACUUAUCAAAUACAACCAGGAAAUAGGCUUAGAAGCGGCCAUUUUUUGAAGACCUCGUAACAGAGCACUGGUUAAUAAAAAAUUUUUUAGAUAGAUAUGUAUACCGAAAAUUUAACGGAUCUAAAUAAUAUACCGAAACCUUGUUCGUAUAUAUUAAUAUAUAAUAUUAUUUACUAGUUUAAAUAUAUAUAUAUAUAUAUAUGAGGUAGCGGAA